This 279-nucleotide ribosomal RNA is filed under the name uncultured bacterium. RNAcentral's name for it is "partial 16S ribosomal RNA". It matches the Rfam family "Bacterial small subunit ribosomal RNA", at positions 506 to 784 of the family's 1533-position model. The record is from RNAcentral.
UGCCAGCCUCCGCUGUACUACUUAUUGAGCAAUCGUUGUCCGGAAUCAUUGGGCGUAAAGAGCGUGUAGGCGGCCAAGUCAGUCUGGUGUGAAAUCUUGAGGCUCAACCUCAAGCGUGCAUCGGAUACUGCUUGGCUAGAGUCCGGAAGAGGAGAUCGGAAUUCCUGGUGUAGCGGUGAAAUGCGCAGAUAUCAGGAGGAACACCUACUGCGAAGGCAGGUCUCUGGUACGUGACUGACGCUGAGACGCGAAAGCGUGGGGAGCGAACAGGAUUAGAUA